GAAACACUCCAACGCAAAAGCAGUGAAACUCUCAAAUAUAAGGGAAGAGAAUGUUUAUGUCGUUGAGUCAGAUGGUUGAAGAGAUGGCUAAUAUGCACCAAUCUUUCAAUGAAGAAAGAAUGAAGAUGCAGCUGGUUGAAAGUGAUCAUUAUAGCGGAAUUGUGGAAGAGGUGAAAAAUCUGACAGAUGAAGUGGAGGGUAAGAAGAGGAAACUUGAAUGCUGGAGCAAAGAAUUAGACGAACGUCAAGCAUUAAUUGAAUUUGACAGACAAAAACUUGAUGAAGAGAAGAAAAUCAAGAAAAUGAAUGAUGAAAGAAACGGUUCUCUUUUGUUGGCAUCGCUGGAGCAGUUUCAAAAGGCUCUAGAGAAUAUGUCAAGGCUAGUUGAAAAGCAAAAGAAUGAUGUGAGAAACAAUUCACCUCAGUUGGCAUCCGUGGAGCAGAAAAAGGCUGAUGAGAAUGUCUUAAGGAUGGUUGAAGAGCAAAAGAGGGAGAAAGAAGCGGCUCUACAUAAGAUACUUCAGUUGGAAAAGGAGUUGGAUGCCAAACAGAAGUUGGAAUUGGAAAUUAAAAAGUUAAAAGCGAAAAUUCAGAUGAUGAAGCAUCUCGGUAAUGCUAAUAAUACAGCUCUUCAAAUGAAGUUGGAGGUGAUGACUGCUGAACUGGGGCAGAAAGAUGAAGAUUUGGCUUAUGUGGAAUCUCUGAAUCAAACUCUUAUCAUGAAAGAGCGUCAGAUCAAUGAUGAGCUACAAGAAGGGCGUAAAGAAUUAAUUCAGGUUUUAAAAGAUACGUUGUCCUCAACUGUUAGGACUACUAUUGGAAUAAAGAGAAUGGGAGAAAUUGAUGAAAAGCCAUUCCUUAAUACAUUCAAGCAAAGAUUUCCACCUGAGGAAGCUCAGCUUCAGGCCAGUACUCAAUGCAGCUUGUGGCAGCAGUAUUUGAAUAAUGCAGAGUGGCAUCCAUUCAAAAUCAUCAAUAAUGCUGAAGGGAAUUCUCAGGAAAUAGUAGAUGACGAAGAUGAGAGGCUACAAAAUCUCAAGCUGGAGUGGGGGGACGACAUAUACAUGGCAGUUGUUACUGCUUUGAAAGAGUUAAAUGAGUAUAAUCCAAGCGGGAGAUAUGUGAUUCCUGAGCUCUGGAAUUUCAAAGAAGAAAGGAAAGCCACGUUGAAGGAGGUGAUUGGUUAUAUUGUGAAGAAUAUCAAGACCCUUAAGCGCAAGAGAUGAAGAGAAGUUGACUGCUAAGGUCAGAACAAUCAAUACUCUGAGUAUUUCACAUUGAUACAAAAGGACUGCUGGUAUUGAUAUAAUAAAUUAACUAAUGCGUCUGUUGGAAUUGAAAUGAACUAAUGAAACACAGCAUGAAUGCUGUGAGUAUUUUCAUUCUUGUUUAAAUUUAUUCUACUUGUGCAUUAACUUGAACCUGUAUGCUAGGGGUGCCUCUGGAAGAAAUGGAAGGUCUUUUACAGCAAAGAGGUUUCUUAAGAGUUAGAUUUUUUUUGGCUAGUCGCUCCAUCAAGAUUAUGCAUGCCAAAGAAUAAAGUUGCUAGAAUUGUAUUCGUGUUCCCUUAUGAAUUGUGAACCUAAUUUUGAGUACAAAAAUCUAUUUAAAUUUCUGAAUAUCUUUCAGAUUGCAAAUUUCUUUGGCUCCCCUUGCUAUUGUUGUUCUCUUUACUACAAGUGGAUUUGAUUUGAUUUGAUUUGAUU
This 1706-nucleotide unclassified non-coding RNA is filed under the name Hevea brasiliensis (rubber tree). The record is from RNAcentral. Lineage: Eukaryota; Viridiplantae; Streptophyta; Magnoliopsida; Malpighiales; Euphorbiaceae.